CGGACCCCGUGCGAAUGCGCAUAUCGAACGCGCCCUCUCAAGUCUGCUAACGGCUCUUUCCUCAGUUUUCUCGCUGAUGGAGUGGAAGACGGCGGCGUCUGAAGGCUCACUGUCAUUCACCAGUGGCUCCAGUCUGGUUUGGGGGUCUACCCUUUCUCAUCCUGGCCUGCCAGCCAAGUAAAAAGAGAAAUAACUACAGACCUCUGCUGCUGAUACCGGUUCAGGAUGAAUUGCAGAUGCUGUGAGUCAGUGGUUCAACCAGCCAACAAACAGGAAAAGCUCAAGGCGGAGUCUUAACUGUCAGCAACUACCCAAAAAAACCAGGCUACUUAUUUCCCACUAAGAAAAACAGUGGUCUGGUAUGAAGGUUAUCUGUGUUUUGGAACAUGUUCUUAAUAUUCAUUAAAUAAUCAAGACACUU
This is a long non-coding RNA of Alosa alosa (allis shad), 421 nucleotides long. RefSeq lists it as uncharacterized. The transcript has 4 exons. Lineage: Eukaryota; Metazoa; Chordata; Actinopteri; Clupeiformes; Clupeidae. The record is from RefSeq and is a predicted model, not a curated record.